CAAAUUAUACUUCUGCAUUUAACGCGCCUCUUCGAAUUGUUUAGCCAUAUUUCUUUCUCCAUGUAUCACAUGUUGCCGAAGAACUCCCCUACGUCGUUCGAUUCCCCUUCAUCAUUAUCAGCGGACGAUGGUCGUUUGGUUCGUUGUUUUAACUAUUCUUCCACACAGAUGGUAUUCGCUGGGCACCAUAGACCAGGCAAACGGCGGGGACCACUGGGUCCAGUUGUUGAUAGAUUGUAGUGAGUUGGCGGGAUUCGAAGAAUAAAGUCGAUUGUCGGGUGUAUGUCAUGCGCCACAUGGGGACGUACGUAAGCAGGGGUGCCCAAAUGGGAGUGUGGCAUUACCAAAUGUGACAAUUCUAAGCUGCACCAGCUCAGGUUACAUUACAUGAAGGAAAUUGCGAUCUCUUAAUUCAAUCUUCAUAGAAGUAGCAACCUAGUUCGGGUGUUUCAGUUUAUUUCUACUUCGCUGGCUGCUAUUUAGUGUUGCAUUCCAGAUUAUGGAUUCUUUAUUAUCAAUUCAUUUUUUGGGAGAACUAUAUUGAUUCUGGGUUAUGCUUUUUGAUGACGUAACUUGUUUACUUUUUGACAGUUACACUACCAUUCUACCUACUGUAACUCAUUAGGUGUUAUGGUGCUAUAUUUUUGGACCUAUGCUAUUUCUCUUUCUUUUUGUUCAA
This is a long non-coding RNA of Ipomoea nil (Japanese morning glory), 679 nucleotides long. RefSeq lists it as uncharacterized. The record is from RefSeq and is a predicted model, not a curated record. Lineage: Eukaryota; Viridiplantae; Streptophyta; Magnoliopsida; Solanales; Convolvulaceae. The transcript is spliced from 2 exons.